AUGGAUGUGUUCACAGCUGAAUCCAGUUCACGUGGAGAAGGGGUGAAGCUGAGAAGUCCAGUCGCUCAGUUGUGUUUGACUCUCUGUGACCCCAUGGACUGCAGCACGCCAGGCCUCCCAACCCAUCGCCAACUCCCAGAGCUGGCUGAAACUCGUUUGAAGCUGAGAAGACUACUCUCUGCAAUCAAUAAACACCAUAAAUGUAGGAUUCUUGUGAAAGUGAGAGAGCCUACACAAAAAAUUCCUCUUCAAAACACUGAUAUGAAAUACUGCCUGAGGAGCUUCCCAGGCUUUUAGUUGGAGACUUCAACUGAAGAGAAAGACACACGCGCAGAGGGAAGGACAGCAUAAGAUGGAAGUUAUGUAUAACGUCAUCUCGGAAGAAAGGUAUCAUCAUUUCCGCCACAUUCUGUCAGUCUCCAGAGCAUCCUUGCAGGACCAGGGCCUGAGAUGCAGGGCGGCAGUGAAGAGCAGCGCAGGGUGGGGAAGGGGUGCAGCCCACGGGGCCGUCGUGAGGGGCUGCUGCUACCAGGCCUUUCAGUGUCCCAUCCAGGCUUUCAGAUGGACGCAUUCUAGGUUUCUUCUGAAGAAAUGAGUAAUCCCCACGGACGUUAAUUAAGUCACGGUAGUGGACUAAGACCUACGGCUAGCCUUAGAUAAAUUACUACUCUAUUGGCACCCUCCAGUCAGCUGGAUCAUGUCUCUUAGAUGACGGCCUAAACUUACGCGCCAUGGUUUCCAAGUUAUUUCAUUUUCCAGUUUUCAAAGAAAAAGGAGAAGGAUUGCUCUUGUUUCAUCUGGAGAAUAGCUGCAUGGAAGAUUCCUCUUCUACACGUGGCCUGUGGGCUGUGCUCAGUUGCUCAGUCGUGUCCAGCUCUGUGGCCCCAUGGACUGUAGCCCACCAGGCUGCUCUGUCCAUGGGCAUGCUCUAGGCAGAAAUGCUGGAGUCGGUUGCCAUGCCCUCCUCCAGGGGCUCUUCCAGUACAGAAAUUGAACCCAGGUCUCCCACAAGGCAAGCAGAUUCUUUACCAUCUGAGCCACCAGGGAAGCCCAAGAAUCCUGGAGUGGGUAGCCUAUUCCUUCUCCAGGGGGAUUUCCUGACCCAGGAAUUGAACUGGGGUCCUCUGCACUGCAGGCGGGUUCUUCACCAUGCUUAAUUUAGCUGCAUGGAAAUACGUCAUGAUGGUGUAUGAUUCGGUGGACUUAGGUAGGGAUCUGUGAAGAUAAAGGGAGUGUGGAGGCAGAGAGUCAUGAAUUCAUUUUAGUUUUCAACUUGUACAAAGCAGUGUCUUCAGCAGGGGAGAUGUGAUGAUAAGACAUUCUGCUCACCCUCAAGGAGCUCAGAGUAGUUACAAGCUUCAGACCAAACGUAAACGUGGGUCAUCAUUCAUGUCCCCAACCCACUAGCUUCAGGGUGGACAUCCUGUCUGUCAAGACUGUGGUGAAAACCGGUGAGAUGAUCUGUAUGAUGUUGUGAUCUAGUCAAAACCGAUGUGUUAUAUAAAUGCCUUAUUAAAUUUCAAAGGGCCUGUCACAGGCACGGUCAUUAUCAGAUGUUUCUAUACAAAAUGUGUAUUUUCCCCUCCUGCAACAUAAGUAUUAAAAUUUCUAAUACAGUCACACCUGUGAUCAGUCUUCUCUUACAAAUAGGAACCAAGAUGGCAAAAUGGAAGUAAUUCUCUAAUUAAUUCAAAAUAGAACCAAACCCUUUCCCCUAAUUAUUUGCCAAAAAGAAUCAUAGUAUGUUUCUUUUGGGGAAAUUAGUAUUUUAGGCAAAAGUGAUUGUUGGCUUGCAGAGUCUUAAAUAAUUUUCAAAUAUUUAAAAUAAUUUGGAGUAAAAUACCAUCCUCAUUUUGAGAAAUAAGACAGCGAACUUAAAAGCCUUUAAGUUCAGACAAAAACACUGUAUAAGAAUAAAGAAUCAAGAUAACAUUUUUGUUCUAUAUUG
This 1948-nucleotide long non-coding RNA is filed under the name Bos indicus x Bos taurus (hybrid cattle). Its description in RNAcentral is "lncRNA (ENSBIXG00005027938.1)". Lineage: Eukaryota; Metazoa; Chordata; Mammalia; Artiodactyla; Bovidae. The record is from RNAcentral.